This 426-nucleotide ribosomal RNA is filed under the name Vermamoeba vermiformis. RNAcentral's name for it is "SSU rRNA". It matches the Rfam family "Eukaryotic small subunit ribosomal RNA", at positions 747 to 1168 of the family's 1831-position model. Lineage: Eukaryota; Tubulinea; Echinamoebida; Vermamoebidae. The record is from RNAcentral.
AUCGUUUACUUUGAGGAAAUUAGAGUGUUCAAAGCAGGCGUAACUCGCCUCCGAAUACGUUAGCAUGGGAUAAUGGAAUACGACUUCGGUCUUGUUUCGUUGGUUUCGCUUGGCUGAAGUAAUGAUUGAUAGGGACAGUUGGGGGCAUUAGUAUUUAGUUGUCAGAGGUGAAAUUCUAGGAUUUACUAAAGACUGACCAAUGCGAAAGCAUUUGCCAAGGAUGUUUUCAUUAAUCAAGAACGAAAGUAGGGGGAUCGAAGACGAUCAGAUACCGUCGUAGUCUCUACCGUAAACUAUGCCGACCAGGGAUCCGGAGAGUUUGCAUGGAUGACUCCCCGGGCACCUUGUGAGAAAUCAUAAGUGUUUGGGUUUUGGGGGGAGUAUGGUCGCAAGGCUGAAACUUAAAGGAAUUGACGGAAGGGCACC